This 694-nucleotide long non-coding RNA is filed under the name Astyanax mexicanus (Mexican tetra). Its description in RNAcentral is "lncRNA (ENSAMXG00005023825.1)". Lineage: Eukaryota; Metazoa; Chordata; Actinopteri; Characiformes; Acestrorhamphidae. The record is from RNAcentral.
ACAAACAAAGAUAUAAUUACUACAGGUGCUCCUGCUGGACCCUCGGAUAAAAAAGCCCCACACAGAUGUCCUUCCCCUGGAGCCAACAUGAUCUUUAGGAGAUGUAAGAAUGCAGCAGUGAUCAGGAUUCCCAGACUCUGGACGUGUAUCUGACUGGACGUGUGUGAAGACCCUCACACACAGCUCCUCCCUGCAGCAGGUGUGAGGAGAGACCUGGUGAAGUGGAACAGAGAGACUGACCUUCUGCACAAUUCUGAUACUCAGGCUGAGCUCACGUUCUCCUGAUGCUGUAUCAGGAAUCUGUCGUGUUUGUGCAGACUGGCUUCAGGAGGAGGCUCUUCACCCACCACAGGAAAAUGCUAAACUAUUCCAUGGACAAUGAAGAGCCCCGAGAGCAGAAGAGCGAGAGCAGGGAGGAGUCCAUUCUGGCCUGUCUGGGGAUCGCAGGAACCAUCCUCAACCUGCUGGUCAUCAUCUUUGUCUACAUCUACACUUCCCUUUGAAAUAAAAGGAAAUGCGGACUAAAAAAAACUAAACCUGGACUAUGGAAUCUACAGUAGCUCUUUCAGGGGGCAAUGGGCAUUCGCUGAACAUCAGAACAGCUAAACCUUAUUUCUCUGUCAUUGUUAGUUCAUAGCAGCCUUACAUGGUUAAACAAUUAACCAUAAAUAAUGUCAUGGUUUUUGUAUAUUUA